This 579-nucleotide ribosomal RNA is filed under the name uncultured bacterium. Its description in RNAcentral is "bacterial SSU rRNA". It matches the Rfam family "Bacterial small subunit ribosomal RNA", at positions 338 to 916 of the family's 1533-position model. The record is from RNAcentral.
CCUACGGGAGGCAGCAGUAGGGAAUAUUGGACAAUGGACGCAAGUCUGAUCCAGCCAUCCCGCGUGAAGGAUUAAGGCCCUAUGGGUUGUAAACUUCUUUUCUUUGGGAAUAAAAAGCGGUAUUCAUAUCGCCUUGAAGGUACCAGAGGAAUAAGCACCGGCUAACUCCGUGCCAGCAGCCGCGGUAAUACGGAGGGUGCAAGCGUUAUCCGGAUUCACUGGGUUUAAAGGGUGCGUAGGUGGCUUUGUAAGUCAGCGGUGAAAGCCUGGAGCUCAACUCCAGAAUUGCCAUUGAUACUGCAGAGCUUGAAUCAAGUUGAGGUGGAUGGAAUAUUACAUGUAGCGGUGAAAUGCUUAGAUAUGUAAUAGAACACCGAUUGCGAAGGCAGUUCACUAAGCUUGUAUUGACACUGAGGCACGAAAGCGUGGGGAUCAAACAGGAUUAGAUACCCUGGUAGUCCACGCCCUAAACGAUGCAAACUCGACAUUAGCGAUAUACAGUUAGUGUCCAAGCGAAAGCGUUAAGUUUGCCACCUGGGAAGUACGACCGCAAGGUUGAAACUCAAAUGAAAUUGACGG